UCGAAUACUUGAAAUUUUUUUAAAAUGCUUAACAUGCAAAGAACAUUGGAGAUUCUAACUUCUUAGAAUCUCUGACGUUAGAGACAAACUAUAUCAUUCUUAGUUAGAGACAAACUAUAUCGUAAAUAAAGGCGUUGAACACGGGUACUCUAAAGGAUUUAUACACGCAAUAAAACAUAACAUAGAAACCAGUCAGACAAGCGAAAACCAGGAUAAAGACAACAAAGGUCCCUAAGAACUAAAUGGGAAGAAGUAUGUAGCUAUGCCACAACAUCUAGCUAAACUCCUGGCUACUAAAAAAGCAGCAAAAUUAACCAAGAGAACAGUAGCAACAAGAAGAGGUCCGACGGUUUUUUCAACCUUAAGGAACAGCAAAGACAGACUACAAGAUAAAGAAAAAGCUGGAGUUUAUACCAUACCGUUAAAAGAAAAAUCGAACAACCAAGCUAAAGAAUACAUUGGUGUAAUGUCGAGAACAUUAUUAGAAAGGCUAAACGAACACAAGGCAGAUAUAAAAAAUGCAAGAACCAC
This 531-nucleotide long non-coding RNA is filed under the name Androctonus crassicauda. The record is from RNAcentral. Lineage: Eukaryota; Metazoa; Arthropoda; Arachnida; Scorpiones; Buthidae.